This 970-nucleotide long non-coding RNA is filed under the name Pan troglodytes (chimpanzee). Its description in RNAcentral is "long non-coding RNA NONPTRT016695". The record is from RNAcentral. Lineage: Eukaryota; Metazoa; Chordata; Mammalia; Primates; Hominidae.
UGGUGCAGAGGCAGUAGCACACAUAUUAUAUUAGGUGAUGUUGUGACAAGAUUGCAUGUGGAGGAAGUUCCCUCCAGCAGUAAUCUGUCCAGAAGCCACAGCGCAGGCCUAUACUCAAAAGGGGAAGAGGGCAAGGGAGCUCCCUAGGGAGCCUAGGUGAUGCCUCUGAGUGCACAGUGGGGACAUGAGUCAGAGAGCCCCGAAGGGAAGGUUAUGAAAUAUUUCAUCCUAAAUAUGUAAAAUAAUUUGUUCCCCAAUGAAAGGCAAAGUGUCUAUUUGCAAAGCUGAAAUAGUUUCCUUGUGUUCGAAGGAUGAUUACAUAGACUGGAAUUUGUCAGACACAAGCCAUUUGACCUUGUUUAGGUAGAGUCACUUGAUAAAUACAUAGACCUACAAAUAUUUUAUUACCAUCUCUUGCAGCCCUAUUCAAGCACAUAGAAAAAAUUCUGUAUAGGUGACUACCAUCUUCUGUCUGAUAGUUAAACUCUAGUCAUUAUUUCUUCCCUCAGUAUUUCACAAAUACACUGGAAGUUUAUUGCUAUACAGUACAAAAUUUUAUUCCUCCACAUGCAUUUGCUCUGUGGCAAAAUUCAGUAAUCUUUAUGUCUUUUAUAUAGUCUUCUUAAUCAGUAUUUCCCUUUUCUUAUAUUUUUCUUAAAAUUUCCUGCUUGAGGUACAAAGAAGCAGAAUAGGAGCCAUUUUAGGGAAAGCAGACAAGGAUUACACAGUGAUCUAGGGACCCAGGAGACUAGAAGUGCUGGAGAGCUUUCUUGGGAAGAUGGGAUGAGUGGGAGACCUGGCUUAGAGGACACUUUUUUUUUUUUUUUUUUUUUUUUGAAGUUAGAGGUUUUGCCUUUUGUUUAUGAACUCCUUGACUGAUGGGCUAGAGAAUUCAUGGAGGGGCCCAGGAGAGAGGAAGCAGGAGAAGCUACUUCAGAUUGGCUAAGGGUAGGAGAGCCAAAGGAGACCG